CACGUAGGGAGGAAGCGUUGUCCGGAUUUAUUGGGCGUAAAGAGCUCGUAGGUGGUUCGGUAAGUCGGGUGUGAAAACUCUGGGCUCAACUCAGAGACGCCACCCGAUACUGCUGUGACUUGAGUCUGGUAGGGGAGUGUGGAAUUCCCAGUGUAGCGGUGAAAUGCGCAGAUAUUGGGAGGAACACCAGUGGCGAAGGCGGCACUCUGGGCCAGUACUGACACUGAGGAGCGAAAGCGUGGGUAGCGAACAGG
RNAcentral lists this ribosomal RNA (254 nucleotides) under uncultured bacterium. RNAcentral describes it as "partial 16S ribosomal RNA". It matches the Rfam family "Bacterial small subunit ribosomal RNA", at positions 524 to 776 of the family's 1533-position model. The record is from RNAcentral.